CGCAUCUGUGCAUGCAGCAUAUCAAUAAGCGGAGGAAAAGAAACUAACAAGGAUUCCCUUAGUAACGGCGAGUGAAGGCGGGAAGAGCUCAAAUUUGAAAUCUUCAAGGUUUUACCUUGACGAAUUGUAGUUUAAAGAAGUGUUUUCUGUUGAAGUUUUGGUAAAAGUUCUUUGGAAUAGGACAUCAUAGAGGGUGAGAAUCCCGUAUUUGACCAUUAUUUUCAGCUGUGUGAUACACUUUCAAAGAGUCGGAUUGUUUGGGAACUGCAGUCCAAAAUGGGUGGUAAAUUUCAUCUAAAGCUAAAUAUUGGCGAGAGACCGAUAGCGAACAAGUACCGUGAGGGAAAGAUGAAAAGAACUUUGAAAAGAGAGUUAAACAGUACGUGAAAUUGUCAAAAGGGAAGCGUUUGACACCAGUGUUGUUUUCUCGAAAAUCAAUUAAAAAGAGUUAGAUUUUGUUGUGUAUUGACCUUAACAGCUUGCAUUUCAAUUUUCUUGCUUUUUUUAAUGCACUUUUCGUUUAACAAGUCAACAUCAGUUUCUUUUGUUGUAAAAAGGUCAUUGGAAGGUGGCUUUCUUUUCGGAGAAAGUGUUUAUAGCCUUUGACUCCUGCAAUCGGAGAGACUGAGGUCCUGCAGCGUAGAUCCUUCGGGGUUAGAUACAUUUGUGCUAAGUUAUAGCUUUUUAUAGACAACUUGUUGACUAUGAUUAGUCUUGUAGCUUACUCGCUUAUGCUAUUUUACCUACGCUUAGGAUGUUGACGCGCGUGUGUGCGUGAGUCUAUACAUGACUCUGCGCAUAUCAAUAAGCGGAGGAAAAGCAUAACAUGUAUACCUACGCUUAGGAUGUUGACGAGACUGUCGAUCUCAUCUAUACAUGGCUCUGUGCAUAUCAAUAAGCGGAGGAAAAGAGGGCUAUUACCUACGCUUAGGAUGUUGACGCGCGUGUGUGCGUG
RNAcentral lists this ribosomal RNA (955 nucleotides) under uncultured Neocallimastigales. RNAcentral describes it as "partial large subunit ribosomal RNA". It matches the Rfam family "Eukaryotic large subunit ribosomal RNA", at positions 26 to 639 of the family's 3401-position model. The record is from RNAcentral. Lineage: Eukaryota; Fungi; Neocallimastigomycota; Neocallimastigomycetes; Neocallimastigales.